Molecule: long non-coding RNA, 392 nt
Organism: Cygnus atratus (black swan)
Lineage: Eukaryota; Metazoa; Chordata; Aves; Anseriformes; Anatidae
Exons: 3
Source: RefSeq, a predicted model, not a curated record
GAUGGGGAUGAAGAUGAGGAUGGUGAUGGGGAUCCCGAUGCUCCUCCUGCUCCCGCGGCUCCUCUCCUCCUCACCUCCGCCUCCUCCACCUCCGCCUCGCAUCGCUGGCCUCAGCCGCCGCCGACCAGCACAGAAAAGAUCACCAGCUUAUCACAAAGGCUUCACCUAAGAUACAUCAGCAACACGCUAACAUUUUAAGUGUUUGAGAUCUGUCUUACUUUAGGCAACAGCACAGCCUGGAUAUUAGGUACGACAUACCCUUGAGCAGUGGUGACUUUCCCAGCAGUUUGGUGAGACGCUUGCUGCUGCAGAUGAUGGGGGAUAAGCCUUGCUUCUUGUCCUGACCGGUAUUCCCAGCCAGCUGAAGAAUUUCAGACAUCAGGUGCAACAGA